GCCCAGUGACCACAGUUCAACGGCCGCGGUAUCCUGACCGUGCGAAGGUAGCGUAAUCACUUGUUCUUUAAAUAAGGACUAGUAUGAACGGCAUCACGAGGGUUAUACUGUCUCCUUUUUCCAAUCAGUGAAACUAAUCUCCCCGUGAAGAAGCGGGGAUAAUUCUAUAAGACGAGAAGACCCUAUGGAGCUUUAAAUUUUAUUACAACUGCCCGAUUUAUUUGCUAGUCCUGACUUCAUCUAUCAAAUUCAGCAUUAUGAUAAUAAAUUUUAGGUUGGGGUGACCACGGAGCACAAAAAAACCUCCGCAUUGAACUAAGCUUAAAAGCUUUUAGCAAAGAACCACAACUCUAUGCAAUAACACAUUAACAUUCAUUGACCCAAUAUUUUGAUCAACGGACCAAGUUACCCUAGGGAUAACAGCGCAAUCUACUUUGAGAGCUCCUAUCGACAAGUGGGUUUACGACCUCGAUGUUGGAUCAGGGUAUCCCAGUGGUGCAGCCGCUACUAAUGGUUCGUUUGUUCAACGAUUAAAACCCUACGUGA
RNAcentral lists this ribosomal RNA (546 nucleotides) under Scinax argyreornatus. RNAcentral's name for it is "partial large subunit ribosomal RNA". It matches the Rfam family "Bacterial large subunit ribosomal RNA", at positions 1861 to 2603 of the family's 2925-position model. The record is from RNAcentral. Lineage: Eukaryota; Metazoa; Chordata; Amphibia; Anura; Hylidae.